CGUUUCUUACCACGCACCUACCGUAAAUUGAGCUACGAUACUGGGAGAGUUUGGACUUAUGUUUUUAAGCCAGAGGAUGAGUUUACCGUGUGCUUACCGUGACUGUCACCCUGAUAUUGGCUAAAAGAAGGGAGCCAUGAAGAGGAGCUUGGAGUGGGCAAGGGAGAGGCUGAUAAAGCAGUAGAGAAGACCUGAUUCAUCAAGUAUCACGGUUAAUUCUGGUGAUUCUGACCUGGUUGGAAUGCGCAACACGGCAAGACACUUCAAUCCGACACUCUUGUUAAUGUUUGACGUCAGGCAAAACGUCUUCAGCCACCGUAGGGUGGAGAGCCGCUGGUUGGCAUUUUUGACAGCGGUGUCUGUGUGGGUGUACCAGGAAAGGACGUUUGAAGUUAGGUCCCCAUGAUAUCAAAGCUCCUUACCAUCUUCACUGCAGCCCAGUCGAUAUCGAUUUUAAAAACUGGAACAAUAGAUAUCGUGUUGCACAUGGCAGCAAAAAUUCACUUGCCCAACUCCAGUUUGCCUAUUGUCCCAACACAUUUGUCAAUUAUGCAUUUUUACCUACGUCAGAGCGUGGUUUCUUUUAUAGCUCUGCUUUCAACACCAUCCUGACCCACAAACUGGUUAGCAGACUCAGGCCUCUGAGUGUAAACCCUGUAAAACGAAUUACAUUUUUUACAUUAUCACAAGAAUGUCUAUCCCCAUAAUGGACACAACACCUAAACAUGAUGACGACAAUACCAUGGUACCACCUGAUCACGAGUACAUGAAGGUGCUGUGGGAUCUGACAUAAUGGUGAUAGAACAACAGCCUCAGCCUAAGCAAAACAAAGUAGAUGGUGAGACUUGACCAUUCUCCCAUCUACUGUACAUUGACAUGGAGAUGAACAGCAGCUUCAAGUUCCUGGGCACCCUGAUAUCCAUUUCUGCCCUCAGUCACUUCACUCAAAGUCCCACCAGUACACCUCCACUUUCCUCAUCAACUUGCUGCACCACAACCUAUGUUCCAACUACAGUGUCUUUUAUUGCCAUAACACAUGUAAAUGAAAUGUUGUCCAUAUUUACUGUAAGAUUUAUUUAUGGUAACAUUGAACAUAUUGUAACAUUAUAGUCAGUUGACAUACAUGACUAUAACUACUAUUAACUACUAUUAACUACUUAGCAUAAUGCUCCGUUUACCCACUCUACUAAGAAAUCAUACAUUUAUUAAAAUAUUAAAGCUGCAUUAUGUA
Long non-coding RNA from Oncorhynchus tshawytscha (Chinook salmon), 1231 nucleotides. The record is from Ensembl. NCBI's taxonomy places the organism in Eukaryota, Metazoa, Chordata, Actinopteri, Salmoniformes, Salmonidae.